UAGGGAAUCUUCCACAAUGGACGCAAGUCUGAUGGAGCAACGCCGCGUGAGUGAAGAAGAUCUUCGGAUCGUAAAACUCUGUUGUUAGAGAAGAACACGAGUGAGAGUAACUGUUCAUUCGAUGACGGUAUCUAACCAGCAAGCCACGGCUAACUACGUGCCAG
Molecule: ribosomal RNA, 164 nt
Filed under: uncultured bacterium
Lineage: Bacteria
Description: partial 16S rRNA
Rfam family: Bacterial small subunit ribosomal RNA
Source: RNAcentral